GACGAACGCUGGCGGCGUGCUUAACACAUGCAAGUCGAACGGAAAGGCCCUGCUUUUGUGGGGUGCUCGAGUGGCGAACGGGUGAGUAACACGUGAGUAACCUGCCCUUGACUUUGGGAUAACUUCAGGAAACUGGGGCUAAUACCGGAUAGGAGCUCCUGCUGCAUGGUGGGGGUUGGAAAGUUUCGGCGGUUGGGGAUGGACUCGCGGCUUAUCAGCUUGUUGGUGGGGUAGUGGCUUACCAAGGCUUUGACGGGUAGCCGGCCUGAGAGGGUGACCGGCCACAUUGGGACUGAGAUACGGCCCAGACUCCUACGGGAGGCAGCGGUGGGGAAUAUUGCACAAUGGGUGGAAGCCUGAUGCAGCAACGCCGUGGGCGGGAUGACGGCCUUCGGGUUGUAAACCGCUUUCGCUCAUGACGAAGCUUUGUGUGACGGUAGUGGGUAAAGAAGCACCGGCUAACUACGUG
RNAcentral lists this ribosomal RNA (469 nucleotides) under uncultured bacterium. RNAcentral's name for it is "partial 16S ribosomal RNA". It matches the Rfam family "Bacterial small subunit ribosomal RNA", at positions 28 to 507 of the family's 1533-position model. The record is from RNAcentral.